RNAcentral lists this ribosomal RNA (306 nucleotides) under uncultured bacterium. Its description in RNAcentral is "bacterial SSU rRNA". It matches the Rfam family "Bacterial small subunit ribosomal RNA", at positions 202 to 503 of the family's 1533-position model. The record is from RNAcentral.
GGCCCUUGCGGUAUUCAGAUGAGCCUUAGGUUCGGAUUAGCUAGUUGGUGAGGUAAUGGCUCACCAAGGCGACGAUCCGUAACUGGUCUGAGAGGAUGAUCAGUCACACUGGAACUGAGACACGGUCCAGACUCCUACGGGAGGCAGCAGUGGGGAAUAUUGGACAAUGGGCGAAAGCCUGAUCCAGCCAUGCCGCGUGUGUGAAGAAGGUCUUCGGAUUGUAAAGCACUUUAAGUUGGGAGGAAGGGCAGUAGGUUAAUACCUUGCUGUUUUGACGUUACCGACAGAAUAAGCACCGGCUAACUU